This 498-nucleotide ribosomal RNA is filed under the name uncultured bacterium. RNAcentral's name for it is "partial 16S ribosomal RNA". It matches the Rfam family "Bacterial small subunit ribosomal RNA", at positions 28 to 507 of the family's 1533-position model. The record is from RNAcentral.
GACGAACGCUGGCGGCGUGCCUAAUACAUGCAAGUCGAGCGGACGGAUGGGAGCUUGCUCCCAGACCGUCAGCGGCGGACGGGUGAGUAACACGUGGGCAACCUGCCUGUAAGACUGGGAUAACUCCGGGAAACCGGGGCUAAUACCGGAUAACUCUUUCCCUCACAUGAGGGAAAGCUGAAAGAUGGCAUCUCGCUAUCACUUACAGAUGGGCCCGCGGCGCAUUAGCUAGUUGGUGAGGUAACGGCUCACCAAGGCGACGAUGCGUAGCCGACCUGGGAGGGUGAUCGGCCACACUGGAACUGAGACACGGCCCAGACUCCUACGGGAGGCAGCAGUAGGGAAUCUUCCGCAAUGGACGAAAGUCUGACGGAGCAACGCCGCGUGAGUGAUGAAGGUUUUCGGAUCGUAAAACUCUGUUGUCAGGGAAGAACAAGUACCGGAGUAACUGCCGGUACCUUGACGGUACCUGAACAGAAAGCCACGGCUAACUACGUG